CUCAUUAUAUCUUUCUUCAAAAUAGCCAUCAUACCUACCUAUUAAGGCAUUUCCAUAGCCUUUCCGAGAUACAUUGCCAUGCAACAUCCACCAUCUCAUGACUUGAUCUUCAUGUCAUACAUGCUUUUGCUUCAUCAUAGAGCCGCAUGAUAGUUGGGCUUUGCCCCAAUUAUUGCUACGUGACACGCUAGUAUCAUUGCAUAUCCUACUACACUAGCAGAUGCAUACAUUUGCAUACAUCAUGAUAGUUUUCACUUGUCUUUUAUGUUGAGUAAUUCUUAUGAAGUGUGAUGAUCUUCUCUUUAUUCAUGUAAAACAUAGAGUGUUGCCCUUAAGUGAGGAAAAGAUCCCAAAGAGGACAAACAAAAGAUCCCAAAGAGGACAAAUGAGAGAUAAAAAGAAAGAGCCAAAG
This 412-nucleotide long non-coding RNA is filed under the name Hordeum vulgare. RNAcentral describes it as "long non-coding RNA (HVUL_LNC015972)". Lineage: Eukaryota; Viridiplantae; Streptophyta; Magnoliopsida; Poales; Poaceae. The record is from RNAcentral.